GACGAAGGAUGCAAGCGUUAUCCGGAUUCAUUGGGUUUAAAGGGAGCGUAGGCGGACUUGUAAGUCAGUGGUGAAAUCUGUGGGCUUAACCCACAAACUGCCAUUGAUACUGCAGGUCUAGAGUACAGUUGCCGUUGGCGGAAUAUGACAUGUAGUGGUGAAAUACUUAGAUAUGUCAUAGAACACCGAUUGCGAAGGCAGCUAACGAAGCUGUAACUGACGCUGAGGCUCGAAAGUGCGGGGAUCAAUCAGG
Molecule: ribosomal RNA, 253 nt
Filed under: uncultured bacterium
Lineage: Bacteria
Description: partial 16S ribosomal RNA
Rfam family: Bacterial small subunit ribosomal RNA
Source: RNAcentral